This 599-nucleotide ribosomal RNA is filed under the name uncultured bacterium. RNAcentral's name for it is "bacterial SSU rRNA". It matches the Rfam family "Bacterial small subunit ribosomal RNA", at positions 14 to 614 of the family's 1533-position model. The record is from RNAcentral.
UGAUCAUGGCUCAGAAUCAACGCUGGCGGCGUGCCUAACACAUGCAAGUCGAACGAGAAAGCGGGGGCAACUCCGCGAGUAAAGUGGCAGACGGGUGAGUAACACGUGAACAAUCUACCCUUGAGUGGGGAAUAACAUCGCGAAAGUGGUGCUAAUACCGCAUAAAAUCGCCGGGUCGCAUGGCCUGGUGAUCAAAGGCGAAAGCCGCUCGAGGAGGAGUUCGCGCCUGAUUAGCUAGUUGGUGAGGUAACGGCCCACCAAGGCGACGAUCAGUAGCCGGCCUGAGAGGGUGAACGGCCACACUGGAACUGAGACACGGUCCAGACUCCUACGGGAGGCAGCAGUGGGGAAUUUUGCGCAAUGGGCGAAAGCCUGGCGCAGCAACGCCGCGUGGAGGAUGAAGGCCUUCGGGUCGUAAACUCCUGUCAGGGGGGGACGAAAGCCCUCACGGGUUUGACUGUACCCCUUGAGGAAGCCACGGCUAACUCCGUGCCAGCAGCCGCGGUAAUACGGAGGUGGCAAGCGUUGUUCGGANAUUACUGGGCGUAAGGGCGCGUAGGCGGCUUGGCACAGUCAGAUGUGAAGCCCCGGGCUCAACU